RNAcentral lists this transfer RNA (75 nucleotides) under Solidesulfovibrio fructosivorans. It matches the Rfam family "tRNA". Rfam says of the family: Transfer RNA (tRNA) molecules are approximately 80 nucleotides in length. Lineage: Bacteria; Pseudomonadati; Thermodesulfobacteriota; Desulfovibrionia; Desulfovibrionales; Desulfovibrionaceae. RNAcentral also lists the same sequence under 6 other names. The record is from RNAcentral.
AGGACCGUAGCUCAGGGGGAGAGCGCUUGCUUGACACGCAAGAGGUCGGGAGUUCAAAUCUCCCCGGUCCUACCA